RNAcentral lists this ribosomal RNA (452 nucleotides) under uncultured bacterium. RNAcentral describes it as "partial 16S ribosomal RNA". It matches the Rfam family "Bacterial small subunit ribosomal RNA", at positions 29 to 523 of the family's 1533-position model. The record is from RNAcentral.
AACGAACGCUGGCGGCAGGUCUUAGGCAUGCAAGUCGAACGGGUGUAGCAAUACAUCAGUGUCGCACGAGUGAGUAACGCGUGGGAAUUUGCCCAUCGGUGGGGAAUAACGUUUGGAAACGAACGCUAAUACCGCAUACGUCGAGAAAUCGAGAAAGAUUUAUCGCCGAUGGAUAAGCCCGCGUUGGAUUAGCUUGUUGGUAGGGUAAUGGCCUACCAAGGCGAUGAUCCAUAGCUGGUCUGAGAGGACGAUCAGCCACGCUGGGACUGAGACACGGCCCAGACUCCACGGGAGGCAGCAGCUAAGAAUAUUGGACAAUGGAGGAAACUCUGAUCCAGCCAUGCCGCGUGAGUGAAGAAGGCCUUCGGGUUGUAAAGCUCUUUUAGUCGUGAGGAUGAUGACGGUAGCGACAGAAAAAGCACCGGCUAACUUCGUGCCAGCAGCCGCCGUAA